UCCCUGUAAAGAAACACCCCCAUAGUAUUGCUAGCUGCACAAGGAAAUUUAAAGGUAACGUGUAAUGUAGUAUAUCUUUGGUAUUUUUGAAUAAAACAUCUGAAAUAAAACAGUAAGUAAUGUUGUUGGAAGGUGAUUCUUAUAUGUCAAAAAUUGGACUAUGGUUCAUAGGUUCACCAAGUGUAAUUCUCCAAAGAAAAUGUCUGGUAAGUAACAUAAUCAUGUGAAAAAGUGAAUAAACAC
This 243-nucleotide long non-coding RNA is filed under the name Hordeum vulgare. RNAcentral describes it as "long non-coding RNA (HVUL_LNC013547)". The record is from RNAcentral. Lineage: Eukaryota; Viridiplantae; Streptophyta; Magnoliopsida; Poales; Poaceae.